AGACCCGGGGAGCGAGGCAGAGAGGGAGGAGUGUGUGUGUGAGUGUGUAUGUGUGUGUGUGUGAACGCGGGAGAGAGAGCGAGAGAAGAGAAGCGAGGGUGGGGGGAAAAGGGAAAGAAGAUUUUCUCUAUGUAUAUAAAGAUGGCCACGUUAGCAAACGGACAAGCAGACAAUACCACCCUGAGUAGCAAUCACACCAACCCCAGCACCAACGGGCACAUGAACGGAUUAACCCACAGUCCCGGAAACCCAGCCACCAUCCCCAUGAAGGACCACGAUGCCAUUAAGCUCUUCAUUGGGCAGAUCCCCCGCAACUUGGACGAGAAGGACCUCAAGCCGCUCUUCGAGGAGUUCGGGAAGAUCUACGAACUGACGGUGCUGAAGGACAGGUUCACUGGCAUGCACAAAGGCUGUGCCUUCCUAACAUACUGCGAAAGGGAGUCUGCCCUGAAGGCCCAGAGCGCGCUGCAUGAACAGAAGACACUGCCAGGGAUGAACAGACCAAUCCAGGUGAAGCCAGCGGACAGCGAAAGCCGAGGAGAAGACAGAAAACUCUUUGUGGGGAUGCUCAAUAAGCAGCAGUCAGAAGACGACGUGCGCAGGCUAUUCGAGGCGUUCGGGAACAUUGAGGAGUGCACGAUCCUCCGGGGACCCGAUGGCAACAGCAAAGGGUGUGCAUUUGUGAAAUACUCCUCGCAUGCAGAGGCCCAAGCAGCCAUCAACGCCUUGCAUGGCAGCCAGACAAUGCCGGGGGCCUCCUCGAGCCUGGUGGUGAAGUUUGCAGACACGGACAAGGAGCGUACCAUGAGGCGCAUGCAGCAAAUGGCAGGACAGAUGGGCAUGUUCAAUCCCAUGGCUAUCCAGUUUGGAGCAUACGGCGCCUACGCACAGGCACUGAUGCAGCAGCAGGCGGCGAUCAUGGCAUCCGUGGCACAAGGGGGCUACCUGAAUCCCAUGGCAGCCUUCGCCGCAGCCCAGAUGCAGCAGAUGGCAGCGCUGAACAUGAACGGCCUGGCUGCUGCUCCCAUGACGCCAACCUCAGGUGGGAGCACACCUCCUGGCAUCACUGCACCGGCUGUGCCUAGCAUCCCGUCCCCAAUUGGGGUGAAUGGUUUCACAGGCCUCCCACCGCAGGCUAAUGGGCAGCCCACCGCAGAAGCUGUGUUCGCUAAUGGCAUCCACCCUUACCCAGCACAGAGCCCGACUGCAGCAGACCCCUUGCAACAAGCCUACGCUGGAGUGCAGCAGUACGCAGGUCCUGCUUAUCCUGCUGCUUAUGGCCAGAUUAGCCAAGCGUUUCCACAGCCGCCUCCCAUGAUCCCACAGCAACAGAGAGAAGGACCAGAGGGCUGUAACCUGUUUAUCUACCAUCUGCCCCAGGAGUUUGGGGAUGCUGAGCUGAUGCAGAUGUUCCUGCCUUUCGGUAAUGUCAUCUCCUCGAAAGUGUUUGUGGAUCGGGCGACAAACCAAAGUAAAUGCUUUGGGUUUGUGAGUUUUGACAACCCCGCCAGUGCCCAGGCUGCCAUCCAGGCUAUGAAUGGUUUCCAGAUUGGCAUGAAGAGGCUGAAGGUGCAGCUGAAGAGGCCGAAGGAUGCUAACCGCCCCUACUGAAGAGUUGUGGGAACCGCUGGAUACACAUGACUAGCACAGAGCCAGUCAAAUCCACCACAGUCUCGAGCUGAGCUAGGAAAAAAGUUCACGUAAUGACAUGAAAGUGGAGAAUACAGUCCCCCAGUCCGGCAGCAGCUGAAUGGGCCACAUUUAGAAAAAUAUAUAUAUAUAUAUUUUAAAAAAACAGGAACUGUUGGAUUACAUCUUUGACAUAUCAGCAAAUAUCAAUCAAGCUGAAGACUUCAGACUUAUUCUCUCUUUGAUUGUUUAGACUGUAACAUUUCUUCAAGAAAAGUAUCACGUCUGCUGACUUCGAAGGACACGGGCUGGAAACAAACAAAAAUUAAUAAAUAAAUCAGAACAGGAACAAGAUCAACCAGGAUUUCUGAAGAGACAUUGAUAUCACCACAGCGGCUUUUCUCCAAACAGGAAAUGCAAACCUGGAUACGGACAAAGGAGUGCCUGUUUGCCACCAAGGAUGCGGCUACCAUGUUGACCCCAUGGUAAUGGUCACUGAGCAUCUUUAUCUGUCAUUCCUUAGCUAUAUAGGGACCAAAGGACAAAACUUUUUAUCGCAGACUUGUAGCUGUAUGUAAAAUAUGGAAGUUCUUUGCUUUUCUCUGAGCUGUUCCUAAAACAGUUUUUGAGAGCAAUUAUAUGAAAUAUGUAAAAAUUAAAAAAAAAUGCUUAAAUGCUUUUAAAAUGGCAAGAUAAUAGUUCUUUGAUACUUUGGGAGGUUCUUUGGUUAUACAUUAAUUAGAGUCUAUGAAACUUUCAUAUGGUUUUCUGUAUAAUACGUAAGGAUCGCGCUGCUCAAAGCAGGUAAGAUGAUGUCUGUGAAAAGCAAAAAAAAAGUAAAGUAAAUAAAUAAAAAGGCAUAGCAAAGAGAAAAGAAAGAUGGUUGAUAGUAAAAAACAAAAACGGUUUGUAAAUGCUUCUAACUCUCCCCGUUUAAAAUCCUAAUAGUUGUACAGAAUUUAAAAAAAGAAAAAACUUUAAAAUACCUAUAUAAUAGAAGAAAAAUUAGACAACAAAAAGCAAAAAAAAAAAAUACUACAUAGAAGUUAGCGUUAAUGCUAAAAACAAAGAUGUUGUAGAAUUGUAAUUUUUGUAGAGUUUAGACUGAGCAUAAAUUCCUACUCUCUGCCAAUUGCUGUUGGAUGCUGUUAUUUAUCGAGGAGAAAAAGAAGAGAAAUGCUAUUUCGGCAGCUUUUUUAACUGCAAGCAUUCCAGCUAUUAACAAAAAUAAACAAACGAAACUCGAUUCUUGUAGACAAUGCAAACGGGAAACAAAACAGCUGUCUUUUUAUCCGAUGUAGUUCUAACUUGAACAACAAAACACAGCUAUACGCUUCAUGUCUUCAUGAUCUGCUGUCCGCAAAUUCCCAUCAUCCUAUGCUUCAGUAGCUUCCAUAUUUGCUCUAGAAACCUUCAGAGCAAGGGGUUAGCCUAGAACCUUAAUCUUAAAAAAUAAAAAUAAUAUAAAAAAAAAUAAAAA
Molecule: non-coding RNA, 3109 nt
Organism: Chrysemys picta bellii (western painted turtle)
Lineage: Eukaryota; Metazoa; Chordata; Testudines; Emydidae
Source: RefSeq, a predicted model, not a curated record